UUGUUUUGGUCUCUACUGGUCUUGCAUACACUCCAGAUGUGAAAAAAAAUCAUCCAGCCCCUUUCUGUGAGUCACCAGGCGAAAUUUGACACCGCCUCCUGUGAGCCAGUUAGCAGUUCCCCACCUGUGUGACGUGAUAUAGGGGCCGACCAAUGAGGGUGCUGCCCGGCGGUGUCCAGGCCUGCCCCCAACGGAAAUCCCCACCCACUAAUUCAUGGAGUGAAGAACCUGCGUGUCCGCCAUUGUUGUAUCUUAGCUUCAUCGCUAACGGGAACCGAGCUAUGGCAAGCAAAAGCAAAAAAGGGUGUUUUGUUGUCGGUUGUGGGGAACCACACAAGUCUGUGCAUCUUCUUCCAACUGACCAGAGAAAAUCUGCGUGGCUAAAUUUCAUCUUUGAUGGCAAGAUUCCACCAACACUUGGAAAACAAAUUACAGUGUGUGCAAACCAUUUAGCUGAAGACUGCUUUGGAAACUUGGGACAAUACCAUGCAGGAUUGGCACACAGACUUCGCCUUACCGAGGACACGGUCCCAACUAUCCGUGAUGUGUCGACAGGUAAAGGACCUGCUCCAGCCCAGCCACAUCUGAUUCCUCCCACAAGAGAGGUCGCCUGUCGAACCACCAGAGAAACGAACCGCUGGCACCCAACUGUCCAUACGUACACUUGGACCUCACUUGGACACACUGGAUAAUACCCUGGAUGUGCACCCUUCAACUGUUCCAUGCGGCUUGUAACCUAUAAGUAACAGACCAGCCAGAUCGGAUUCAGCCAGAAACAGAAGUCUACUGUCGAACUGACCCACCUGUGACCUGAAGAAUGGAACCUGACUGAAAGUGCUGACCUGGUAUACAGCUGUCUAUGAGCCCUCCAUUUCAAUGAGAAUGCUGCACGAGACCAGGCCACCACGUCCACAGAUCCCCUCUACAGGAUCCAUUACUCCAAUGCCAUGAAAGGGGAGGCAAGAGUGAAGCCCGUAUAAAAUGAGGCAACAUCUGGAUGCGUUGAAGACGUGGGCCUGAGAAGGAGGGGGUGAUCACCAGCUGCAUCUUCCGCUUCAACGCAGGGGAGGCAGUCUGAAGCCCAUGUAU
Long non-coding RNA from Engraulis encrasicolus (European anchovy), 1089 nucleotides. RefSeq lists it as uncharacterized. NCBI's taxonomy places the organism in Eukaryota, Metazoa, Chordata, Actinopteri, Clupeiformes, Engraulidae. The record is from RefSeq and is a predicted model, not a curated record. The transcript is spliced from 5 exons.